RNAcentral lists this ribosomal RNA (333 nucleotides) under Triticum aestivum (bread wheat). RNAcentral describes it as "partial small subunit ribosomal RNA". The record is from RNAcentral. Lineage: Eukaryota; Viridiplantae; Streptophyta; Magnoliopsida; Poales; Poaceae.
AUGAACAAGAAGAAGAGUAACAAGAAGAAGACCAGUUCUACUCCUCCUCCUCCCCAAAAGGUAGUGUUUGUGCAAGAAGGGCACAAGGAGAAGGAGAAAGAAAAAGGGGUUGUUGGGAAUGGCAAGGUCACUAGGGACAAGGCCAUUCCCAAGGUUUUUGCCAGCAAGAACAAUCCAUCUUAUGUCCUCAUGAGAGGAGAUGAUGGUUACACAUUUGCAAAAUUUGUUGGCACUAACUAUGAUGAUUAUGCUUGGGAUAUUUGGGUUCCUAAGACCCCUGUUGCUAACUCUCUAGGACCCAUUGCAAAAUGGGUACCUAAAACCAAAGCUUGA